Molecule: ribosomal RNA, 1559 nt
Filed under: Xanthoporus syringae
Lineage: Eukaryota; Fungi; Basidiomycota; Agaricomycetes; Polyporales; Steccherinaceae
Description: eukaryotic LSU rRNA
Rfam family: Eukaryotic large subunit ribosomal RNA (bases 586-1559)
Source: RNAcentral
GGUGAACCUGCGGAAGGAUCAUUAUUGAAUGAAUUUGGGUGGGGUUGUUGCUGGCCCUUCAAGGCAUGUGCACGCCUCAUUCAUCCACCCUUCUCUACCUCUGUGCACUUCUCAUGGGUUGGGUUGCGCCGUUUUAGAAUGGCAAAGGCCCCUCCCAUGUGUUUAAUUAUAUACGCAUGUUUGUUUUGAAUGUACAAUGUCAUGCAUGAAUGCAUAAAAUAUAACUUUCAGCAACGGAUCUCUUGGCUCUCGCAUCGAUGAAGAACGCAGCGAAAUGCGAUAAGUAAUGUGAAUUGCAGAAUUCAGUGAAUCAUCGAAUCUUUGAACGCACCUUGCGCUCCUUGGUAUUCCGAGGAGCAUGCCUGUUUGAGUGUCAUGGUAUUCUCAAUCCGCUUGUAUUUUUGUGCAAGCGGUAUUGGAUGUGGAGGUUUUGCCGGCGUUCUUUGAAUGCUGGCUCCUCUGAAAUGCAUUAGCUUGAAUAUGACCGAGCAUGUCUCAGCGUGAUAAUUGUCUACGUUGCGUGUGCAAGGCCGAUAUACAUUCUGGCUUCCAACCGUCCCCUUUGUGGACAACGCUCUGAAAAUCUGACCUCAAAUCAGGCAGGACUACCCGCUGAACUUAAGCAUAUCAAUAAGCGGAGGAANNNNAACUAACAAGGAUUCCCCUAGUAACUGCGAGUGAAGCGGGAAAAGCUCAAAUUUAAAAUCUGGCAGCUUUGGCUGUCCGAGUUGUAGUCUGGAGAAGCGUUUUCUGUGCUGGACCGUGUACAAGUCUCUUGGAACAGAGCGUCAUAGAGGGUGAGAAUCCCGUCUUUGACACGGACCGCCAGUGCUGUGUGAUGCGCUCUCAAAGAGUCGAGUUGUUUGGGAAUGCAGCUCAAAAUGGGUGGUAAAUUCCAUCUAAAGCUAAAUAUUGGCGAGAGACCGAUAGCGAACAAGUACCGUGAGGGAAAGAUGAAAAGCACUUUGGAAAGAGAGUUAAACAGUACGUGAAAUUGCUGAAAGGGAAACACUUGAAGUCAGUCGCGUUGGCCGGAACUCAGCCUGGCUUUUGCCUGGUGUAUUUUCUGGUUGACGGGCCAGCAUCAAUUUUGACCGUUGGACAAAGGCCGGGGGAAUGUGGCACCUUCGGGUGUGUUAUAGCCCUUGGUCACAUGCAAUGGUUGGGAUUGAGGAUCUCAGCAUGCCUUUAUGGUCGGGGUUCGCCCACGUUCAUGCUUAGGAUGCUGGCGUAAUGGCUUUAAAUGACCCGUCUUGAAACACGGACCAAGGAGUCUAACAUACCUGCGAGUGUUUGGGUGGAAAACCCGAGCGCGCAAUGAAAGUGAAAGUUGGGAUCCCUGUCGCGGGGAGCACCGACGCCCGGACCAGACCUUCUGUGACGGAUCCGCGGUAGAGCAUGCAUGUUGGGACCCGAAAGAUGGUGAACUAUGCCUGAAUAGGGUGAAGCCAGAGGAAACUCUGGUGGAGGCUCGUAGCGAUUCUGACGUGCAAAUCGAUCGUCAAAUUUGGGUAUAGGGGCGAAAGACUAAUCGAACCAUCUAGUAGCUGGUUCCUGCC